This 253-nucleotide ribosomal RNA is filed under the name uncultured prokaryote. Its description in RNAcentral is "partial 16S ribosomal RNA". It matches the Rfam family "Bacterial small subunit ribosomal RNA", at positions 524 to 776 of the family's 1533-position model. The record is from RNAcentral.
UACGUAGGGACCGAGCGUUGUCCGGAAUCAUUGGGCGUAAAGAGCGUGUAGGCGGCCCCUUAAGUCCUGCGUGAAAUCCUGCGGCUCAACCGCAGACGGUCGUGGGAAACUGGAGGGCUAGAGUUCGGUAGAGGAGGGCGGAAUUCCAGGUGUAGCGGUGAAAUGCGUAGAUAUCUGGAGGAACACCCGUGGCGAAGGCGGCUCUCUGGUCCGAUACUGACGCUGAGGCGCGAAAGCUAGGGUAGCAAACAGG